Long non-coding RNA from Sitodiplosis mosellana (orange wheat blossom midge), 703 nucleotides. RefSeq lists it as uncharacterized. The transcript has 3 exons. The record is from RefSeq and is a predicted model, not a curated record. Lineage: Eukaryota; Metazoa; Arthropoda; Insecta; Diptera; Cecidomyiidae.
CUGUCUGUCAGAAACGACUUGGAGGCCAAACGGGUGGUCCGAUCUGGACAUGCCGCACAUCAUAUCGAUCGAAUUUCAAGGAAUUGGGCGGCGGAACCGUGUUGGAUAUUGGGGUGGAUGAAAUCCAGUUCAGCCAAUGGGUGUUCCAACAAGCAAAAUCAAUCGCCGCACUCAAAGCAACUCCCACCAAGGAAAGAGUCGAUCUGGAAGUGUCUGCAAAAGUCAAAUACGGCGACAAUAAAGUAGCCAACUUAAAAGUGUUUAAAGACUUUGAAAAACCGAGCCGAAAUUAUUGGAACAAGGGGCAAAAAGACGGUUCCGAUAUUUUGGUGUCCUACCUCGGUCAUUGAUGUUUGAUGGAUCCGAAAAAAGCUGGCCAUUUCCAAAGGGAAAGUACGACUUCAAUUUACUCAACAGUGCUGGCGAGGUAUGAGGCCUACGAAGUACGUAAAUACAUCCACGAAGGCAAGAAAGAAGGCGAUUAUGCUACUCACAAUGAAAGCUUGUUUAUUGCUCGCAUCGAAGACGAAAUUUUCAAGCAACUCGGUGUCACAUACCCAACAGAUGUAUGAGUAAUUCAAGUAAUUCAUACCAACUUUACAAAAAUUCGGGUUUCUUUUAAUGAAAUAAGAAGCUAUUCUUGUACUUUUUUUGUCCUGUGAAUCGAAUUCACUAAAAUCAACCGCAACUUGGCAAUGUUAGA